CAGGUUGAUUGACAAGGAAAUUAUUGGUUCUGAGCAUCGAUGGACAGUAAUUAAAUGAGGCUGAUCAAGGACAAAUAGUAGAUACAAGAAAGCCUGCAGGUGCUACUCCUGCAAACAGAGGACAUUGAGAGACGCCGAAAGAAAUUGAUCGUCGCGGCUCUGACCUUGAACCGAGACGCGUCCUUCAUUAUCGGGUACCAUACUAUCAACAGGUGAUGGCCGCUAACAAGAGACGCAACUGUGUGGACGGUUACCUUGAUUUCGGAGUUACAAGGCUUACCGAGGUGCAGUUAACCCUCAGUGUGUGAUAUCUUGCAAAAUACUCACCGCUGAGUCCCAGGCCCAAUAAACUUAAAUCACACCAGGAAUCCAAGCACCUAAACAUGUUGGCAAAGACCGUCCAUUCUUUGGUCGGCGUCACUCAAAUCUGAAGAGGCGGUCGUGAUUCCAGUGGCUCCA
This is a long non-coding RNA of Eriocheir sinensis (Chinese mitten crab), 459 nucleotides long. RefSeq lists it as uncharacterized. The record is from RefSeq and is a predicted model, not a curated record. Lineage: Eukaryota; Metazoa; Arthropoda; Malacostraca; Decapoda; Varunidae. The transcript has 4 exons.